This is a long non-coding RNA of Manacus vitellinus (golden-collared manakin), 153 nucleotides long. RefSeq lists it as uncharacterized. The transcript has 3 exons. NCBI's taxonomy places the organism in Eukaryota, Metazoa, Chordata, Aves, Passeriformes, Pipridae. The record is from RefSeq and is a predicted model, not a curated record.
GGCAGAAACAGAGACCCUCCUUUUCCAUCUUGGAGCAGGAGUCAGCAGGAGUUAGAGGAAAGGAAACGAAGACAGAGAUCCCUGGCCAGUGGUGACACAGAGAACAGUCCCAACCAAGGAAUGGACGUGGGGCUGCUGGAGAUCCCUGCAGAG